RNAcentral lists this ribosomal RNA (288 nucleotides) under uncultured bacterium. RNAcentral's name for it is "partial 16S ribosomal RNA". It matches the Rfam family "Bacterial small subunit ribosomal RNA", at positions 29 to 335 of the family's 1533-position model. The record is from RNAcentral.
GCGAACGCUGGCGGCAGGCUUAACACAUGCAAGUCGAACGGGCACCUUCCUUCGGGCGGGUGUCAGUGGCAGACGGGUGAGUAACACGUGGGAACGUGCCCUUCGGUUCGGAAUAACUCAGGGAAACUUGAGCUAAUACCGGAUACGCCCCUCGGGGGAAAGAUUCAUUGCCGAAGGAUCGGCCCGCGUCUGAUUAGCUAGUUGGCGAGGUAAUGGCUCACCAAGGCGACGAUCAGUAGCUGGUCUGAGAGGAUGAUCAGCCACACUGGGACUGAGACACGGCCCAGA